CUUCUAAAUUACAAGGAACAGAAAACAGAAGUGAAUUUCUCUACUGUUCACUAAUUUAAGGAUGUGUAAACCUUUUUCUUCUCUCCUAGAAUUUGUGGAAGUUGUUUCACUUCCAAAGAAUGACCUUCUGCAAAGGAUUGAUGAACUGGUAGCAGAAGAGCACCUGGCAGUAGAUGCCAGGGUUUAUACUUACGCGUUGGCUCUGAAGCGCGCAGCAGAAAAACCGCUCCAAGUUCCUUUUAUGAAGUUCUAGAACUGGACAAUGAGAAAUGGAAUUCAAAACUGCCUGUGUUGGAUGGCUUAGAAGUAUAACUCUUCUUCUAAUCAAGGUCAUUUGCUUUACUUGUAGAGCAAAAAAAGUGUUUGUAGUAAUGAUUCUGGUAUUUUUAUUUUUAAUUAUGUAACUGACAAAAAGCAUUUCCUCUAACUGCUCUGUCAAGCCUUGACAGAAUAUCCAUAAUAAAAAUACUGUUUAAUUUUCAGAAUG
Long non-coding RNA from Passer montanus (Eurasian tree sparrow), 487 nucleotides. RefSeq lists it as uncharacterized. Lineage: Eukaryota; Metazoa; Chordata; Aves; Passeriformes; Passeridae. The record is from RefSeq and is a predicted model, not a curated record. The transcript is spliced from 2 exons.